This 497-nucleotide ribosomal RNA is filed under the name uncultured bacterium. Its description in RNAcentral is "partial 16S ribosomal RNA". It matches the Rfam family "Bacterial small subunit ribosomal RNA", at positions 28 to 507 of the family's 1533-position model. The record is from RNAcentral.
GAUGAACGCUGGCGGCGUGCCUAAUACAUGCAAGUCGAGCGAACGGACGAGAAGCUUGCUUCUCUGAUGUUAGCGGCGGACGGGUGAGUAACACGUGGAUAACCUACCUCUAAGGCUGGGAUAACUUCGGGAAACCGGAGCUAAUACCGGAUAAUAUUUUGAACCGCAUGGUUCAAAAGUGAAAGACGGUCUUGCUGUCACUUAUAGAUGGAUCCGCGCUGCAUUAGCUAGUUGGUAAGGUAACGGCUUACCAAGGCAACGAUGCAUAGCCGACCUGAGAGGGUGAUCGGCCACACUGGAACUGAGACACGGUCCAGACUCCUACGGGAGGCAGCAGUAGGGAAUCUUCCGCAAUGGGCGAAAGCCUGACGGAGCAACGCCGCGUGAGUGAUGAAGGUCUUCGGAUCGUAAAACUCUGUUAUUAGGGAAGAACAUAUGUGUAAGUAACUGUGCACAUCUUGACGGUACCUAAUCAGAAAGCCACGGCUAACUACGUG